CAGGUCAGCCAGAUGGCUGCGGCGCUGAUUUUUCAGCGUCGAGGAAAGUCCGCACUCCACAGGGCAAGUAACCGGGUAACACCCGGGGCGGGGAUUCUACGGAAGAACCCGCCGGACAGGACCACAGAAACAUACCGCCCACAAGGGCAAGGGUGAAAUGGCGGUGUAAAAGACCACCGGCGCUGCAGCAAUGCAGCGGCCAGGCAACCCCUUACUGGAGCAAGGCCAAGCAGGGACCAAGUCCGCUUCGGCGGCGGGAAGCGGCCCGUUUUCUUAUGAGUCCCGGGUAGGCUGCACGAGCUGGAUGGCGACAUCCAGCCAAGAGAGAUGGCUAUCGGUCUGGAAACCGUGCAACGCGCAUACCUUUCCAGGCAACAGAAUGCGGCUUAUGAGCUGACCUGUGUU
RNAcentral lists this RNase P RNA (405 nucleotides) under Anaerolineaceae bacterium. Its description in RNAcentral is "RNase P RNA component class A". It matches the Rfam family "Bacterial RNase P class A". From Rfam's summary of the family: Ribonuclease P (RNase P) is a ubiquitous endoribonuclease, found in archaea, bacteria and eukarya as well as chloroplasts and mitochondria. Its best characterised activity is the generation of mature 5'-ends of tRNAs by cleaving the 5'-leader elements of precursor-tRNAs. Cellular RNase Ps are ribonucleoproteins. Lineage: Bacteria; Bacillati; Chloroflexota; Anaerolineae; Anaerolineales; Anaerolineaceae. The record is from RNAcentral.